CAUUCCAGGCGGGCGCGUGGUGCCGCCCCUCACAAGGGCGGAGAAUAGGGAAUCGGGUGCGAGUCCCGAGCGGCCCCGCCACUGUCACCGGUGAGCCCCCUUCGGAAGACCACCUGGCCUGAGGCCGGGGAAGGUGAGGGCGGGCGAGGAACCGGGAGCCAGGAGACCUGCCACGCGCUGAGACUGCGU
Molecule: non-coding RNA, 189 nt
Filed under: Limnochorda pilosa
Lineage: Bacteria; Bacillati; Bacillota; Limnochordia; Limnochordales; Limnochordaceae
Source: RNAcentral